Molecule: long non-coding RNA, 2974 nt
Filed under: Homo sapiens (human)
Lineage: Eukaryota; Metazoa; Chordata; Mammalia; Primates; Hominidae
Description: HSALNT0248278
Source: RNAcentral
UAAAGUCCAAAAAAUCUUAAAUGUGGAGCUCAAUGACAUUUUAUACACACAUGUACAAAUACGUGUAUAUUAUACACAACAGUGUACCACCAACCAAAUCAAGAUAUGGAAUAUUUCCAGGACCCCUGAAGAUUCUCUCAUGCUUCUUCCCAGGCAACACCCCCACCCUACCAGAGGCAGCCCCCAGCUGCCUCCAGAGGUAAUCACUAUUCUGUUGUCUAUUUUUGAACUUCAUAUAAAAUGGAAACAUAUAGUUAUGCUCUUUUGGAUGUAGCACCAUUUAUUGAAGACACAUUACUUUAAGCCUUUGUGAAAUACACACACACAAAGAUACACACCGGAUGACUAUAUGUGUGAACCUGUUUCUGGACUUUGUUUAGUUCCACUGGUCAGCUUGCCUUGGUCAGCUUGCCUUUCCUUGCGUCGAUACCACAUAUCUUUAUAAGAGAUCUUGAUAUCUGGAGGGAUAAUGUCUUCCAGAUCUGUUCUUCUUGGCUACUUUUGGCCCUUGAGUUCUUCUUUAGACUCUAUUCUGUUCCAUUCUUCUAUUUGUCUAUCUUCACACUAAGAACACGCUGUUUUAAUUAUCGUAGCUUUAGAGUAAAUCUUAUUAUCUGGUGAGGUAAAACUUCCAUUUUCUUCUUCCUUAAGAUUAUUUUGGCUAUUCUUGGCCCCUUGCAUUUUUAUUUGUAAAUGGUAGCAUCAGCUUGUCAAUUUCCACUACAAAAAUAUGGUGAGAUUUUGAUUGAGAUUGCACUGAAUUCAUACAUGACUUUGAGAAGCACUGGCAACUUUACAAUACUAAAGUUUCCAAGACAUUACAUCGUAUAUCCUUCCAUUUAUUUAGCUCUUCUUUCAUUCCUCUGAGUGAUAUGUUGUGGUUUUCAGACUAGAGGUUUUGCUAAUCUUUUGUUAAGAAUUUUUCGGAAUAGUUUAUAUUCCAAUGUUUAAAAAUUUUCUAGUUGCUGUUGCUAUGUAGAAAUACAACUGCUUUUUCUGCCGGGCGCAGUGGCUCACACCUGUAAUCCCAGCACUUUGGGAGGCCAAGGUGGGCGGAUCACGAGGUCAGGAGAUCAAGACUAUACUGGCUAACACGGUGAAACCCCAUCUCUACUAAAAAAUUAGCCAGGCGUGGUGGCGGGCACCUGUAUUCCCAACUACUUGGGAGGCUGAGGCGGGAGAAUGGCGUGAACCCAGGAGGCAGAGGUUGCAAUGAGCUGAGAUUGCACCGCUGCACUCCAGCCUGGGCGACAGAGUGACUCCAUCAAAAAAAAAAAAAAAAAUACAACUGCUUUUUCUUAUAUUGACUUUGUUUUCAAAGACAUCUCUAAAUUCAAUUUUUUUUUCUAAUUUUUUUAUUUUUAGAGAUGGAGUCUCACUAUGUUACCCAGGCUGGUCUCCAACUACUGGCCUCAAGUGAUCCUCCCACUUUGACUUCCCAAAGUGCUCGGAUUACAGGUGUGAGCCACUGCACCUAGCCUAAAUUCACUUAUUAAUCUAAUAGUUGACCUGUAGAUUACUUUGGAUUUUCUAUGUGUACAAUAUAUUGGCUAUAAUAUCAACUUUGUUUCAUCCUUUCCAAUCAUUAUACCACUUCUUAAUUUUCCUCACUUGUUGCUAUAACUAUACAGUAUAGAACAGAAGUGAUGAUAGUGGCCAUCCUUAUCCUGUGUCCAAGCUCAAGUGCGGGUGCAAUCACUCAGAAAACUGUUCAGCAGUGUAUGAUGAACAUAUAGAUACACUGCAAUCCAGCAAUCCCACUCCUAGACAUAUGCCCACAAGAAAUGAGUGUAUGUCUACCAAAAGACAAGGACAAACAUGUCCUUAAUGGUUCUCUUCAUGAGAAGGCCAAACUGGAAACAACCAAAUUCAGAACAAAUAAAUGGUAGUAGACUCAAACAAUCAUAUGCUAUUUAGCAGCAAGAAUGAACAAACUAUUCCUACAACGUGGAUGACUCUCACUAACUUGAGCAAAAGCAGUCAGACAUUAAAAAGCACAUAUUAUAUAAUUAAACAAAGUUCAAAAAAGGCAAAACUAAUCUACGGUGUUAGAGGGCUUGGGGCUGGUUACUCAAGGGGGAGGAUUUAGGAUGGCGCUCCAGGGGCUUUCUGGAGGAGAGAUAAAUUUCCUGUUCUUGGCCUGAGUAUUGAUAGACAGCUAUGUUCACUCUGUAAAAACUCCCUGAGCUAUGCACUUGUGAUUUGUGUGCAUUUUUGUGUAUAUUUCAAUUAAAAGUUUAUUAAAAACUACAUAUAUUUAACUGAAGUUCAUUCUCACUGUAAUCUGUACAAUCUGAAUUUGUAUAACAAAUGUCUGCCCAGCUCUAUAAAUGUACAGCUCUUGUAGACACCAGGCUUUUAGGCUGUAUUUUGAUAUGCUUGUGCCUCUGAAGUUCUAGCUAUAAGGGUAGUCUGUUUGUGCUGCUAUAAUGAAAUAGCUGCAACUGUGUCAUUUGCAAAUAACAGAAAUUUAUUUCUCACAGUUCUGAAGGCUGAGAAGUCCAAGGUCAAGGCACCAGCAGGUUUGGUGUCUGCUGAAGGCCCAUUCCUCAUGGUGCCACCUAGGGGCCUUCACAUGGCAGGACAGAAGGGCAAAAACGGCCCAAGCUAAUUCCCUCCAGUCCUUUUAUGAGGCACUAAUCAAAUUCAUGAGAGCAGAACCCUCAUAACUUAAUCACUUCCCCAAAUGCCAACCUCUUAAUACUGCCACCAUGAGGAUAAAGUUUCAACGUGAAUUUUGGAGGGGACACCAUUAUUCAAACCACAGGAGGGGCUAUGGGUAGUAAGUAGAGUUUUCUCUGAAAGGGGUAUAAAUUAUACAUUGAGGGGAGAGAGCCUCUUAAACAGUAUACUAAAGUGCAGAAGGCAGGCCUUGUUCCAGUGAAAGAAGGGACUCCAAACUCUCGCUAUGCUUCAUUUCCUUUGGUCUAGAGCAGUGGUUCCCAAACAGGGAUUGAAGGGGCCAAGGAGUAAG